Long non-coding RNA from Lutra lutra (Eurasian river otter), 657 nucleotides. RefSeq lists it as uncharacterized. The record is from RefSeq and is a predicted model, not a curated record. The transcript is spliced from 4 exons. Lineage: Eukaryota; Metazoa; Chordata; Mammalia; Carnivora; Mustelidae.
GACACACACGCGGACACACACACACACGCCUCUUCCACGUUUGGAAAUUGGAAUACUGUCUGGGAAAAGGUGGGCAAGGAAUGGGGGCAAGAAUAAGAGAUGAAAUCCCCUGGGCGAUGGCGAGGAUUGCCGACGGUGCUGCCAGGAGAGAGAAGCCAGAGUCACAGCCAAAAAGUUAUAUUUGUGGUGAGAGGUGGGUGUGUUUCAAAUAUGUUCGAUGAGCGAUAGGGCCUGCAAGAGGAAGCUGCUUUCCAGCCUGUGAAGGUCUUCCUGGAGCACUGGCUUAUGCCCACCUGGAGGAGGGUUCCAUCCUGGCCAUGUUAGUGUCUGUGAUGGAAGCCAGAUGAGACUAAGUGUUAUGAGCUAAAUGGUGUCCCUCCAAAUUCAUAUGUUGAGUCCUAACCCCCCCAGGAAGUACCUCCAAAUAUGACUGUAAGUAGAGACAGAACCUUUAAAGAGCGAUUAAAGUAAAAUGAGAUCAUUGAUUGGGUCCUAUUCCAAUACGACUGAUAUCCUUAUAAGAAGAGGACAGACACACAGAGGGAAGACCGUAUGAAGACACAGGGAGAAGAAAGCCAUCCAGGAGCCCAUGAGAGAGGCAUCAGAAGGAAACAACCCUGCGGACACCUUGAUCUUGAACUUCCAGCCCCCAGAACU